This 679-nucleotide long non-coding RNA is filed under the name Homo sapiens (human). RNAcentral describes it as "HSALNT0329036". Lineage: Eukaryota; Metazoa; Chordata; Mammalia; Primates; Hominidae. The record is from RNAcentral.
GUGUUCCAGCUGCUGGUGCUAACAAAGAUCUGAGGUUAUACACACAUGACCUAUCACCCACACCCACCCGAUUGGGAGGGGUUGCCUCUCCCUGUGUCCACACAUAUGCCUUGAGUUGCUCUUCAGUGAAUAUCACUUUUCCUUUCAUGUUUUUUCUACAUGCUAUUAUCUGUAUGAAAUGAAGACCAAGAAAGGAUGGGAAGAAGGAGAAGAAAAAUUUUGAUUUAUCUCAGAAACUAUACUCCGAAGUGAGAGUCCUGGUUGCAGGAUCAUCACAUUUUGGAGUUCUCAGUCCUGUGUACAAAGUCCAACUAUCUGAGGCCACCAUGCACUUAGGAUGUCCAGGCCACCUGGAGAGGCUACCAGAUAUGUGUAUGAAGAAGUUGUCUUGAAAGUGGAUCUUCCAGCCCAUGUUAUUCUAGCUACAGCUGUUUGAGUCUCCUUGUACAAGCCCCAGACAUCAUGGAAUGGAGAAGAGCUGAGCCACGGUGUCCUCUCCAAAUUCUCAAUCCACAAAACUCAUGAAAAUAAUAAAAUGAUUGUGUCUUUGUGCUACUAAAUUUAGGGAAAUUUGUUAUUCAGCAAAGAUGAUUAGAACAAGAGACCACAAUUUGACUAUCAUAUUUCAGAAAUGACACAGAUCCAGAGAGGUUAAAUAAAUCAUUUUAUUCAAAUGAAG